This 72-nucleotide transfer RNA is filed under the name archaeon. Its description in RNAcentral is "tRNA-Phe". It matches the Rfam family "tRNA". From Rfam's summary of the family: Transfer RNA (tRNA) molecules are approximately 80 nucleotides in length. Their secondary structure includes four short double-helical elements and three loops (D, anti-codon, and T loops). Further hydrogen bonds mediate the characteristic L-shaped molecular structure. tRNAs have two regions of fundamental functional importance: the anti-codon, which is responsible for specific mRNA codon recognition, and the 3' end, to which the tRNAs corresponding amino acid is attached (by aminoacyl-tRNA synthetases). tRNAs cope with the degeneracy of the genetic code in two manners: having more than one tRNA (with a specific anti-codon) for a particular amino acid; and 'wobble' base-pairing, i.e. permitting non-standard base-pairing at the 3rd anti-codon position. The record is from RNAcentral.
GGGAAGGUAGCUCAGCGGGAGAGCACAUGACUGAAGAUCAUGGAGUCGAGGGUUCGACUCCCUCUCUUCCCA